GUAUUUAAUACUGUAUCCACUCGUAUAAUAUUGGAGAUAAGGUCCAAAAGUUUCUACCAAACUGCCGUAAAUAGUUUGACUACGAGAGGAAUAGGGUUUUUA
This 102-nucleotide non-coding RNA is filed under the name Bacillus sp. (in: firmicutes). RNAcentral's name for it is "Bacillus sp. Guanine sequence". It matches the Rfam family "Purine riboswitch aptamer". From Rfam's summary of the family: Riboswitches are metabolite binding domains within certain messenger RNAs that serve as precision sensors for their corresponding targets. Allosteric rearrangement of mRNA structure is mediated by ligand binding, and this results in modulation of gene expression. Lineage: Bacteria; Bacillati; Bacillota; Bacilli; Caryophanales; Bacillaceae. RNAcentral also lists the same sequence under 1 other name. The record is from RNAcentral.